GCCUGUGGGAUAUUCUCAGUCAGUAGAGCAUGAGACUCUUAAUCUCAAGGCUGUGUGUUCAAGCCCCAUGUUGGGCA
This is a non-coding RNA of Podarcis lilfordi (Lilford's wall lizard), 77 nucleotides long. The record is from the annotation of a GenBank genome assembly. Lineage: Eukaryota; Metazoa; Chordata; Lepidosauria; Squamata; Lacertidae.